RNAcentral lists this ribosomal RNA (2925 nucleotides) under Escherichia coli. Its description in RNAcentral is "bacterial LSU rRNA". It matches the Rfam family "Bacterial large subunit ribosomal RNA". The record is from RNAcentral. Lineage: Bacteria; Pseudomonadati; Pseudomonadota; Gammaproteobacteria; Enterobacterales; Enterobacteriaceae.
GGGUUGUGAGGUUAAGCGACUAAGCGUACACGGUGGAUGCCCUGGCAGUCAGAGGCGAUGAAGGACGUGCUAAUCUGCGAUAAGCGUCGGUAAGGUGAUAUGAACCGUUAUAACCGGCGAUUUCCGAAUGGGGAAACCCAGUGUGAUUCGUCACACUAUCAUUAACUGAAUCCAUAGGUUAAUGAGGCGAACCGGGGGAACUGAAACAUCUAAGUACCCCGAGGAAAAGAAAUCAACCGAGAUUCCCCCAGUAGCGGCGAGCGAACGGGGAGCAGCCCAGAGCCUGAAUCAGUGUGUGUGUUAGUGGAAGCGUCUGGAAAGGCGCGCGAUACAGGGUGACAGCCCCGUACACAAAAAUGCACAUGCUGUGAGCUCGAUGAGUAGGGCGGGACACGUGGUAUCCUGUCUGAAUAUGGGGGGACCAUCCUCCAAGGCUAAAUACUCCUGACUGACCGAUAGUGAACCAGUACCGUGAGGGAAAGGCGAAAAGAACCCCGGCGAGGGGAGUGAAAAAGAACCUGAAACCGUGUACGUACAAGCAGUGGGAGCACGCUUAGGCGUGUGACUGCGUACCUUUUGUAUAAUGGGUCAGCGACUUAUAUUCUGUAGCAAGGUUAACCGAAUAGGGGAGCCGAAGGGAAACCGAGUCUUAACUGGGCGUUAAGUUGCAGGGUAUAGACCCGAAACCCGGUGAUCUAGCCAUGGGCAGGUUGAAGGUUGGGUAACACUAACUGGAGGACCGAACCGACUAAUGUUGAAAAAUUAGCGGAUGACUUGUGGCUGGGGGUGAAAGGCCAAUCAAACCGGGAGAUAGCUGGUUCUCCCCGAAAGCUAUUUAGGUAGCGCCUCGUGAAUUCAUCUCCGGGGGUAGAGCACUGUUUCGGCAAGGGGGUCAUCCCGACUUACCAACCCGAUGCAAACUGCGAAUACCGGAGAAUGUUAUCACGGGAGACACACGGCGGGUGCUAACGUCCGUCGUGAAGAGGGAAACAACCCAGACCGCCAGCUAAGGUCCCAAAGUCAUGGUUAAGUGGGAAACGAUGUGGGAAGGCCCAGACAGCCAGGAUGUUGGCUUAGAAGCAGCCAUCAUUUAAAGAAAGCGUAAUAGCUCACUGGUCGAGUCGGCCUGCGCGGAAGAUGUAACGGGGCUAAACCAUGCACCGAAGCUGCGGCAGCGACGCUGAUGCGUUGUUGGGUAGGGGAGCGUUCUGUAAGCCUGCGAAGGUGUGCUGUGAGGCAUGCUGGAGGUAUCAGAAGUGCGAAUGCUGACAUAAGUAACGAUAAAGCGGGUGAAAAGCCCGCUCGCCGGAAGACCAAGGGUUCCUGUCCAACGUUAAUCGGGGCAGGGUGAGUCGACCCCUAAGGCGAGGCCGAAAGGCGUAGUCGAUGGGAAACAGGUUAAUAUUCCUGUACUUGGUGUUACUGCGAAGGGGGGACGGAGAAGGCUAUGUUGGCCGGGCGACGGUUGUCCCGGUUUAAGCGUGUAGGCUGGUUUUCCAGGCAAAUCCGGAAAAUCAAGGCUGAGGCGUGAUGACGAGGCACUACGGUGCUGAAGCAACAAAUGCCCUGCUUCCAGGAAAAGCCUCUAAGCAUCAGGUAACAUCAAAUCGUACCCCAAACCGACACAGGUGGUCAGGUAGAGAAUACCAAGGCGCUUGAGAGAACUCGGGUGAAGGAACUAGGCAAAAUGGUGCCGUAACUUCGGGAGAAGGCACGCUGAUAUGUAGGUGAAGUCCCUCGCGGAUGGAGCUGAAAUCAGUCGAAGAUACCAGCUGGCUGCAACUGUUUAUUAAAAACACAGCACUGUGCAAACACGAAAGUGGACGUAUACGGUGUGACGCCUGCCCGGUGCCGGAAGGUUAAUUGAUGGGGUUAGCGCAAGCGAAGCUCUUGAUCGAAGCCCCGGUAAACGGCGGCCGUAACUAUAACGGUCCUAAGGUAGCGAAAUUCCUUGUCGGGUAAGUUCCGACCUGCACGAAUGGCGUAAUGAUGGCCAGGCUGUCUCCACCCGAGACUCAGUGAAAUUGAACUCGCUGUGAAGAUGCAGUGUACCCGCGGCAAGACGGAAAGACCCCGUGAACCUUUACUAUAGCUUGACACUGAACAUUGAGCCUUGAUGUGUAGGAUAGGUGGGAGGCUUUGAAGUGUGGACGCCAGUCUGCAUGGAGCCGACCUUGAAAUACCACCCUUUAAUGUUUGAUGUUCUAACGUGGACCCGUAAUCCGGGUUGCGGACAGUGUCUGGUGGGUAGUUUGACUGGGGCGGUCUCCUCCUAAAGAGUAACGGAGGAGCACGAAGGUUGGCUAAUCCUGGUCGGACAUCAGGAGGUUAGUGCAAUGGCAUAAGCCAGCUUGACUGCGAGCGUGACGGCGCGAGCAGGUGCGAAAGCAGGUCAUAGUGAUCCGGUGGUUCUGAAUGGAAGGGCCAUCGCUCAACGGAUAAAAGGUACUCCGGGGAUAACAGGCUGAUACCGCCCAAGAGUUCAUAUCGACGGCGGUGUUUGGCACCUCGAUGUCGGCUCAUCACAUCCUGGGGCUGAAGUAGGUCCCAAGGGUAUGGCUGUUCGCCAUUUAAAGUGGUACGCGAGCUGGGUUUAGAACGUCGUGAGACAGUUCGGUCCCUAUCUGCCGUGGGCGCUGGAGAAUUGAGGGGGGCUGCUCCUAGUACGAGAGGACCGGAGUGGACGCAUCACUGGUGUUCGGGUUGUCAUGCCAAUGGCACUGCCCGGUAGCUAAAUGCGGAAGAGAUAAGUGCUGAAAGCAUCUAAGCACGAAACUUGCCCCGAGAUGAGUUCUCCCUGACUCCUUGAGAGUCCUGAAGGAACGUUGAAGACGACGACGUUGAUAGGCCGGGUGUGUAAGCGCAGCGAUGCGUUGAGCUAACCGGUACUAAUGAACCGUGAGGCUUAACCUUACAACGCCGAAG